ACACAUGCAAGUCGAGGGGCAGCGCGGGAUAGCAAUAUCCUGGCGGCGACCGGCGGAAGGGUGCGUAACGCGUGAGCGACAUGCCCGUUGCCCGGGGACAACCGGUGGAAACGCCGACUAAUCCCCGAUGGGAUAUUGUGCCGCAUGGCACGAUAUUGAAAGUUACGGCGGCGACGGAUUGGCUCGCGUCCGAUUAGCUUGUUGGCGGGGUAACGGCCCACCAAGGCUACGAUCGGUAGGGGUUCUGAGAGGAAGGCCCCCCACAAUGGGACUGAGACACGGCCCAUACUCCUACGGGAGGCAGCAGUGAGGAAUAUUGGUCAAUGGGCGGAAGCCUGAACCAGCCAUGCCGCGUGCGGGAAGGAGGCCCUAUGGGCUGUGAACCGCUUUUGCCUGGGGGCAAUAAGGGCGUCGCGCACGCCCGAUGAGAGUACCAGGCGAAUAAGCAUCGGCUAACUCCGUGCCAGCAGCCGCGGUAAUACGGGGGAUGCGAGCGUUAUCCGGAUUCAUUGGGUUUAAAGGGUGCGUAGGCUGUGCGUCAAGUCGGGGGUGAAAUUCCGGUGCUCAACACCGGGGCUGCCCUUGAUACUGUCGCGCUGGAGUGCGGAUGCCGCCGGAGGAAUGAGUGGUGUAGCGGUGAAAUGCUUAGAUAUCACUCAGAACACCGAUUGCGAAGGCAUCUGGCGAAUCCGUAACUGACGCUGAGGCACGAAAGCGUGGGGAUAGAACAGGAUUAGAUACCCUGGUAUUCCACGCCGUAAACGAUGAUGGCUAACCGCCGGCGACACACUGUCGGUGGCCAAGCGAAGGCGAUAAGCCAUCCACCUGGGGAGUACGUCGGCAACGAUGAAACUCAAAGGAAUUGACGGGGGCCCGCACAAGCGGAGGAACAUGUGGUUU
RNAcentral lists this ribosomal RNA (900 nucleotides) under uncultured bacterium. RNAcentral describes it as "bacterial SSU rRNA". It matches the Rfam family "Bacterial small subunit ribosomal RNA", at positions 51 to 947 of the family's 1533-position model. The record is from RNAcentral.